RNAcentral lists this ribosomal RNA (497 nucleotides) under [Candida] sp. LCF-89. Its description in RNAcentral is "eukaryotic LSU rRNA". It matches the Rfam family "Eukaryotic large subunit ribosomal RNA", at positions 89 to 650 of the family's 3401-position model. The record is from RNAcentral. Lineage: Eukaryota; Fungi; Ascomycota; Saccharomycetes; Saccharomycetales.
GCGAGCGAAGCGGCAAGAGCUCAGCUUUGGAAUCGGCGGAAGUCGAGUUGUAGAGUGAAGCGCGGCAGCUGGCGGGACCGGACGCGUCCAAGUUUCUUGGAACAGAACAUCGCAGAGGGUGAGAAUCCCGUGGGAUGUGUCCUGGCCCGUGUGUAGUUGCUGUGCGGCGAGUCGAGUUGUUUGGGAAUGCAGCUCCAAGCGGGUGGUAAACACCAUCUAAGGCUAAAUACCGGCGAGAGACCGAUAGCGAACAAGUACAGUGAUGGAAAGAUGAAAAGCACUUUGAAAAGAGAGUGAAACAGCACGUGAAAUUGUUGAAAGGGAAGGGCUUGCAAUUAGUGCCUCGCAAGAGGACCAGCAUCAGUUAGUGGGCGUCCACAAGGGCCGGGGAACGUGGCUCGCAUGCGUGCGAGUGUUUAUAGCCCCGGGCGAUGGCCGUUUGCUGACUGAGGACCGCGCUUCGGCAAGGAUGCUGGGGUAAUGAUUGCCAGCCGCCC